Molecule: RNA transcript, 3232 nt
Organism: Ricinus communis (castor bean)
Lineage: Eukaryota; Viridiplantae; Streptophyta; Magnoliopsida; Malpighiales; Euphorbiaceae
Gene name: DNA repair protein RAD4
Exons: 13
Source: RefSeq, a predicted model, not a curated record
UUUGCGCGCGACUCCUCUUGCUCUUGCGCAAAACAAAUAAAACAUAGAAUGCGAAAAUGCGCAGUAGAGACGAUAAAAGAGCGAAAUUGGGUAAAGAGAGAGAAAAUUUGGAUGAUAUUUCAAAGGAAGGAGUAGAUAAACUUGUAAGGCGUGUUAAUAAUAAAAGUAAUGCAAGAACCAAAGAAAAUAAAAAGGAAGAUACAAAAAUAACAUGGAAUGAAGUUGAUGAUGAUUCAAGAAAAGAAAUUUACAGUGAAAGUUUUAAUAUUUCAAAGAGGAAUAACAGUGAUGAUGAUGAUAAUGUUGAUUGGGAAGAUGGUUCUGCUUCAAUGCUGGACUUUGCAAAGAAUAGUUUAGGCGGUGGCUUGACUAUUGAGUUUAGCGAGUCUCCUGAUUCUGUUAAGAAGAAGCCUAUUCGUCGAGCUACGGCUCAAGAAAAGGAAUUGGCAGAGCUUGUACACAAGGUUCAUUUACUUUGUUUACUUGCUAGGGGAAGAAUAAUUGAUAGUGCUUGUGAUGAUCCUCUCAUUCAGGCCUCUUUACUUUCUCUGCUGCCAGCACAUUUGUUGAAAAUAUCAGGAGUGUCAAAACUCAGUGCUAAUGCUUUAUCUCCUCUUGUCAGUUGGUUUCAUAAUAACUUUCAUGUUAGAAGCUCUUUCGGCGAGAAAAGACCAUUUCAAUCAGCUUUGGCCUUUGCACUUGAAACUCAUGAAGGAACUCCAGAAGAGAUUGCAGCAUUGUCUGUGGCACUAUUCAGAGCUUUGAAUCUUACAACCCGGUUUGUGUCCAUUCUAGAUGUUGCCUCAAUAAAACCUGAUGCUGACAAAUGUGAAUCUGCUACUCAAGAUAUGAGCAGAGAUUACAGGGGGGUUUUCAAUACUUCAACAUUGAUGGUAGAUAGACCAAAAGAGGUUUCUAUGUCUCCUAAGUUAUUUUCAUGCAAUGAGAAAAGCAAUGUGUGUGAAACUUCUGCGAAGGCUUCUUGCAUAAGUAACUACCCAAGGAGCAAGAAAACUCACUGUGAAAGUCCCCUUGCUGCAGCUGAAUUGGAAAAUCAAACAACAGCUUCUGAAUCAUGUAGUAGCUCAAAAUCUCAGGGUUCAAAGAGGAAAGGUGAUCUUGAAUUUGAGAUGCAGUUACAAAUGGCUCUCUCUGCAACGGCAAUUGAAGCUCCUCAAAUUAGCAUGGGAUCAGAUGUGAUAAGCUUGAUUAAUGAUACAUCAAAUAUCUCUUCUUCACUUAAAAGAAUUAAGAUGGUUGGAAGUGAGGAAUCUCCCAUCCAUGGAAUCUCAACUGCACUUGGAUCAAGAAAAAUAGGAUCUCCUCUGUAUUGGGCAGAAGUAUACUGUAGUGGAGAAAACUUGACAGGGAAAUGGGUUCAUAUAGAUGCUGUAAAUGCAAUUGUAGAUGGAGAGCAAAAGGUUGAAGCCUCAGCUGCUGCAUGUAAAACUUCUUUGAGAUACGUGGUUGCUUUUGCUGGGCAUGGUGCUAAAGAUGUGACCCGCAGGUAUUGUAUGAAGUGGUACAAGAUAGCAUCACAAAGAAUUAACUCAAUUUGGUGGGAUGCAGUGUUGGCCCCGUUAAGGGAGUUGGAAUCAGGAGCUACAGGGGGUAUGGUUCCUCUGGAAAAGCACCAAGCCAAUGCCUCAAAUAGACAUAAAAUUGUGAAUGUAUCAGGAGUGUCUGAUUGUUUAAUACAGGAUAAUUUUCCAAUGCAUGCCAACUUGUCUGAGAAGUUAGGGUCCUUUAAAGGGCCUGAAGUUCCUGAGAGGAAGACUGAUAUAGAAUCUUCUGGGAGGAACUCUUUUGUUUCAACUAGGACCUCUCUUGAGGAUAUGGAGUUGGAAACUAGGGCACUAACUGAGCCUCUCCCCACUAAUCAGCAGGCCUACAAAAAUCAUCAACUAUAUGCUAUUGAAAGAUGGCUUACAAAGUAUCAGAUACUUCAUCCCAGGGGUCCUGUUCUGGGAUUCUGUUCUGGUCAUCCAGUUUAUCCUCGUGCUUGUGUGCAAACACUCAAAACAGAACAUAGAUGGUUGCGUGAAGGACUGCAGAUUAAAGCCAAUGAAUGUCCAACAAAGGUAUUGAAACAAUCUGCAAACCUUAAGAAAGUAAAAUCUUCAGAAGAUGAUGACUACAGCGAAGUGGAUCCUAAAGGAAAUAUUGAACUUUAUGGGAAGUGGCAGCUGGAACCCCUGCAGUUGCCUCAUGCUGUAAAUGGCAUUGUGCCAAAGAAUGAGCGUGGUCAAGUUGAUGUGUGGUCUGAAAAGUGCCUGCCACCAGGGACCGUGCACUUGAGGCUGCCAAGGGUAUUUCAUGUUGCCAAGAGACUGGAAAUUGAUUAUGCACCUGCCAUGGUUGGAUUUGAAUUCAAAAAUGGUCGAUCUGUCCCUAUCUUUGAGGGUAUUGUGGUGUGUGCGGAAUUUAAAGAUGCAAUCUUAGAGGCAUAUGCUGAAGAAAAAGAGAUCAGAGAAGCUGAAGAGAAGAAAAGAAAUGAAGCACAGGCUAUAUCUAGGUGGUAUCAACUUCUUUCAUCAAUCAUAACUCGACAAAGGUUGAAUGACCGUUAUGGGAACAGUUCGUCAUUGCAGAUGUCAAGUGGUAUCCAAGAUAGAAAUAAUAAAUUAGUACAUGUUCAUAAUGAACCUAAGAAGAAAUCUCAGAGAUGCCAGGAAGAAGGCAAUCAGAAGCCCAAAUCAGAUGCUCCUUCAGUGGUUAUAACAGAAGAUCACGAGCAUGUAUUUUUGGCUGAAGAUCAGAGUUUUGAUGAGGAGAGUUCAAUGAGGAUGAAGCGAUGUCAUUGUGGACUUUUAAUCCAAGUGGAGGAAUUAUAGCACCAAGAUAUGGAAAUCCACCGUAAGGUGGUUCUUGAAGAAGCUAGAUUCAAGAUCUAAUCAAGAUAGGCUCCAAUCUGGAAUAACAAAUGUUGGCGCCAAGAAAAAGUUGGAAAGAGAACUUUUAUUACCCUCUCAAUUGUGCUUUCAAAUUUCGCAGCACGUGGCCUCAUGUUCAUGAAAAUUUAUUUUAUGAGCUUUUAUAGAAAUUUGCAGUUUGCACCAUGUUUUUUGGGAAUAAAUAGAUAGUACUGUGGAGGGAAACGAUAUUGAGGAAAAAUUUGGAGGGGAAAUUAUUAUUUUUGUUCACUAUCUUGUUUGGAUUGGGGGAAAAGAACAGGGAAAGGAAAUGGGACAAGUUUGUUUCAUUAAUUAUAACUAUUUAUUCUUCUUAUAAA